CAAAAAAGUUUGGUCCUAGCUUUAAAUCAGCUAUAACUGACACUACACAUCAAGUUCCGCCCACCAGUGAAAAUGCCCUUAUGUAUCUACACAAAACAUUAAGGAGCCGAUAUCAGGCACAACUCACCUUGGCCAACAACAUCUUGCCCCGCCACACCCCAAGGGCACGCAGCAGUGACAAACAUUGAGACAUAAGCGCACAGCUUGACUCAGCCACAGUAACUUGGGUCGGUAAAUCUCGUGCCAGCCACCGCGGUUAUACGAGAGACCCUAGCUGAUACCUACGGCGUAAAGAGUGACCAAUAGGGUUAAUCAGACAUCUUUAAGGCAAAAAACUAACUCCGCCGUCAUACGCACUAGUUAUUCUACACCCCCUACCCGAAAGCAGCCUUAAGCCCAUAGACAACCUUAAUGUCACGACCGCUAGGGUACAAACUGGGAUUAGAUACCCCACUAUGCCUAGCCACAAACCUUGAAAAUUUACACAACCCUCCGCCAGGGUACUACAAGCGACAGCUCAAAACCCAAAGGACUUGGCGGUGCCUUAAACCCCCUCAGAGGAGCCUGUUCUAUAAUCGACAAUCCACGCUAAACCUCACCACCAAUUGCCAACUCAGCCUAUAUACCACCGUCCCCAGCCUACCUUAUGAAAGAAAGACAGUAGGCAAAACGACCACAUCCACACGUCAGGUCAAGGUGUAGCAUACUUGGUGGAAAGAAAUGGGCUACAUUUUCUUUUAAGAAAAAACGAAUAAGCCUAAUGAAACCAUAGCUUUGAAGGCGGAUUUGACAGUAAAAAGAACCCAUUAUAUUCUUUUUAAGUCGGCCCUAAGGCGCGCACACACCGCCCGUCACCCUCAUCAAAUAUUGGACAACAAAUUAAAUAAAACACCCUCCAGCCUAAGAAGAGGUAAGUCGUAACAUGGUAAGCGUACCGGAAGGUGCUCUUGGAACAAC
RNAcentral lists this non-coding RNA (957 nucleotides) under Rhinatrema nigrum (black caecilian). Its description in RNAcentral is "12S ribosomal RNA". It matches the Rfam family "Bacterial small subunit ribosomal RNA". Lineage: Eukaryota; Metazoa; Chordata; Amphibia; Gymnophiona; Rhinatrematidae. The record is from RNAcentral.